ACUGUACCAAAAGCAAUAUAAAUGGUACUUUAAAUUGGGCCCAGAUAGGCACGUUUGACCUAACACGUGUAUUGCUCUUUAUUGUUUAGGGCAGAGGCGCACGCGUACUAGUGAUUUUGUUCAUCUUGAAAGAAAAAAAGCAAAGCGCUGAUUUUGGAAAGUGAAGAAAUUGUUGUUCAUCUUCAAUAUCCGGUGAAACUUAACUUAAGUCGCUCUCCUUUCCUUUCCUUUCCUCUUUUAUUUCCCAGUGGUAUCUAACGGCUACGUAUGGUUUUAUUUUAGCUCUUAUUUGUCGAUUUUUCUUUCCAUUUUGCUGAUUUAUUUGGCUUUUGGGUUGUAGUAACGUUGCAUGUUGCCACUUGCCACUGCUGCUCCUUUUGUUAAUUCUUGGUCAUUGAAAUUUAGUUUUUGAUCUUGACGUGGGCGUUUUUCCAAUUUAUGCAUUUACUUCGAGCCGAGGAGAAAGGAGAGAAUUGCAAACAUGAGAUAUGCAGGGAUGGAGCAUAGGAAGCUUCAUAUUAAAAAACCCGAAAGGUUCCCAUGAAAAACUUGAGUGUGUUUUGGAAGCUUGAAGGACAAAUUAUGUUAUUCUUUGGAGUCAUCAUCGGAGGAGUGAUAAAAUGACGAUUUGUGUCCUAAAGUAGAUGUAGUUUCUGAUUUUUUUUUAUUUUUUAUUUGACUUCUUAUGGCGUGAAACCCUCCGUUCUUGAUUUUGUGAUUGUUAUCUCUAGAAGAAUAUGCGACUGUACAAAAGAAAAUGAAGGAUUGAAAAGUAGAAUGUGGAGGUGUGUAAGUUAAGUUGUGCAAGGAAUUAAGAUUUGGAGGUGUGUAAGUAAUGCAGUUAUGAUAUUUUAUUUUAUCUGAAAUUUUUUGAUGCAGUUCUUCUUAUUCAGGUCGUAGUUAGAAGUUUGGGGGAAGAGCUCUUUGUGUAGUUAUAGACUUAACGCAGAUGAACAACAAGAACAAGAAGGGCGAUAAAUGACGAGGGUUACAACACCAGAUUAGCAAAUCACUUAAAACAUUUGGCACACGCUGUGAAUGGGCUGUAACUUAUUUUCAAACAGUACGUUGACAGAAGUGCAGAAUACAAAGGCAUUUUUAGUGGUGGUGAUCAAUCAUAAAGAAGUGCGAAGGAUUGUUAUGCUGAUCUGGAAGUUUUUGAUCACCUCGAUGUUUAGAUUUAUAGGGGCUGAGUUGCAUCAAGUCGUCAAUGUGUGUGGAAUAGGCAUGGAGGGGAAUGGUACCUUUCUUCCUCAUUGUACAGUUGCAAGUUAGUUGUGCAGCUGUUAAACAGAUAAAGUUGCACGAGUCUGGUGAUGCCUAACUCUCCAACGACCUGGUUUUGCUAAGGAGGAUGCAAGUUCAUGAAGGAACUGAAGAAGAAUAGGAAGACGACCAUAAUCUACAUUGUGUCAGCAGAUUUUAGUAGUGGUCCUUGUGUUAAAAUAUACAGUGUUCAAACGAGAGGAUAAAUUACUGUUAUGAAAUAUAUUAUGGAUGUCCAAUACACAAAUAUAAUGCCUCUCCUCCACCAUCUUAAUGGUUCCUCCAUUUUCUCAUAUAUUGAAUGCAUAUGUAGCACUAUAAAUAGAGGCAUAAGUUUUCAUAUGAAAUACACUUGUAACACAUUUUGGAAGAAUAGUAAAAAUCUCUCCUCUUUUGUCA
Long non-coding RNA from Lycium barbarum (goji berry), 1665 nucleotides. RefSeq lists it as uncharacterized. The record is from RefSeq and is a predicted model, not a curated record. The transcript has 3 exons. Lineage: Eukaryota; Viridiplantae; Streptophyta; Magnoliopsida; Solanales; Solanaceae.